GAGGAAUUUUCCGCAAUGGAGGCAACUCUGACGGAGCAACGCCGCGUGCAGGAGGACGGCCUUCGGGUUGUAAACUGCUUUUGCCAGGGAAGAGCAUGCACGGUACCUGGUGAAUAAGCCCCGGCUAACUACGUGCCAGCAGCCGCGGUAAUACGGGGGGAGCUAGCGUUGUUCGGAAUUACUGGGCGUAAAGCGCACGUAGGCGGCUAUUCAAGUCAGAGGUGAAAGCCCGGGGCUCAACCCCGGAACUGCCUUCGAAACUAGAUAGCUUGAAUCCAGGAGAGGUGAGUGGAAUUCCGAGUGUAGAGGUGAAAUUCGUAGAUAUUCGGAAGAACACCAGUGGCGAAGGCGGCUCACUGGACUGGUAUUGACGCUGAGGUGCGAAAGCGUGGGGAGCAAAC
RNAcentral lists this ribosomal RNA (401 nucleotides) under uncultured bacterium. RNAcentral describes it as "bacterial SSU rRNA". It matches the Rfam family "Bacterial small subunit ribosomal RNA", at positions 356 to 773 of the family's 1533-position model. The record is from RNAcentral.